RNAcentral lists this ribosomal RNA (1216 nucleotides) under uncultured Rhizaria. Its description in RNAcentral is "SSU rRNA". It matches the Rfam family "Eukaryotic small subunit ribosomal RNA", at positions 577 to 1803 of the family's 1831-position model. The record is from RNAcentral.
CGGUAAUUCCAGCUCCAAUAGCGCAUACUAAAGUUGUUGCAGUUAAAAAGCUCGUAGUUGGAUUUCUGCGGGGACGGAGCGGCCGGACGCAACUUGCGUCUCGAGCUAGCGCUUUCCCCGCAUCCUGCCGCGAACCGUGCUACCAUUAGUUUGGUGGCGCUGGGGAUCGGCUCGAUUACUUUGAGAAAAAUAGAGUGUUCAAAGCAGGCCACACGCCUUGAAUAAGUUAGCAUGGAAUAAUGACUAAGGACUUCGGUUCUAUUUUGUUGGUGUUCGGGACUGAAGUAAUGAUUGAUAGGGACAGUUGGGGCGGUCUGUAUUCCAAAGCGAGAGGUGAAAUUCUUAGACCUUCGGAAGACAAACAGCUGCGAAAGCGUUCCGCAAGGAUGUUCCCUUUGAUCAAGAACGAAAGUUGGGGGAUCGAAGACGAUCAGAUACCGUCGUAGUCUCAACUAUAAACUAUACCAGCUAGGGAUCGGUCAACGUUUAAUUAUUCGACUUGAUCGGCACCUUAUGAGAAAUCAAAGCAUCUGGGUUCCGGGGGGAGUAUGGUCGCAAGGCUGAAACUUAAAGGAAUUGACGGAAGGGCACCACCAGCCGUGGAACCUGUGGCUUAAUUUGACUCAACACGGGAAAACAUACCAGGUCCAGACAUAGUAAGGAUUGACAGAUUGAUAGCUCUUUCUUGAUUCUGUGGGUGGUGGUGCAUGGCCGUUCUUAGUUGGUGGAGUGAUUUGUCUGGUUAAUUCCGUUAACGAACGAGACCCCAGCCUGCUAAAUAGUGCGGCUGAGCUUUGCUCGGUGCGAGCUUCUUAGAGGGACUAUGAUGCGCGAUAGCACAUGGAAGUUUGGGGCAAUAACAGGUCUGUGAUGCCCUUAGAUGUUCUGGGCCGCACACGGGCUACACUGGCGCCUGCAACGAGCAUAUCAGCUGGCCCGAGAGGGUCUUGGCUAAUCUUUUGAACCGGCGCCGUGCUUGGGAUUGACCUUUGCAAUUGUUGGUCAUGCAACGAGGAAUGCCUUGUAAACGCGAGUCAUCAGCUCGCAUUGAAUACGUCCCUGCCCUUUGUACACACCGCCCGUCGCUCCUACCGAUGAAUGUUCCGAUGAAAUUUUCGGAGAGCGCCAGAGAACGGGGCUCUGCCUUGCAGAUCUGGAGGCUCAAAGUCACUUAAAUCUGAACAUUUCGAGGAAGGAGAAGUCGUAACAAGGUAGC